UUUUCCUGGGUUUCUCCCAUGUAUACAUGUUAUAACGCAGCUUGAUUUUCUCCUGUUAUUCCAUCUCAUGUUAAUUUAAUUUGUAGACUGGCCAGAAAGACCUAGAGGGUAGAGGAGUUGUCUUCCUCCCCCACAGUUUGGACACAAGGAUGGGAUAAAACUUCACUGGCUGGAUGCUGCUUGCUCCUGGACUACUGUGGCUGACAGAUCUUGGAAGCCUGACAAGAGAUGGCAAGAGGUUAAGAGUUCUUACCGUGUCAGUCUCCUGGAUAUCUGCCUGCAGGGGCCAAUGGAAGUGAGAAUGGUUCAAAGUUGCAACAAAAUGUCACUUUUAAGAAGUUGAGUAAACACAGAAUGAGAAGCCCUAGAGCAAGUUGCUGAGUUAAUAGACAGGAUCAUCACUUUUUGAAUACAUAUGAACCAGCUCCUUGUAGAACUAGCAGAGGGCCUGUUAAUGGCCUUUUGUUUUAAGGAUGUGGAUUGAUAUUCCAGGGACAGGACUGAUGAGAGCCCUCCUAACAACUGCCUCUCAUAGCCUGUUACUGAAACAGCAGCCUUGCAAGCAAGUAUAAUCUCACAUAAAUCAAAACACUAGAAUGUGAGCUUCAUAAGGACAGAGACUUUGUGUUGGGUCACUGCUGUAUCUGCAGUGGAAAAUAGUAGGUGUUCAAUAACUAUUUCUUGAAUGAAUUGAAUGAAUGAAAACCUUGACCUUUCCUUUAAAGAGGAUUAACACUAAAAGCAAAACAAAAAUAUAGCAGGGUUUCCUGCUUCCUGUUGGAUUUCUGACCCUCAGAAUACUGGUAAGCAGGUAAGCAGGGCUGAGAAGCAGCAUGUGAAGGGCAUGAGGACAAAUACAUACACGAAGGAAGUAUUUAGAAGUCAUGAAUUUGGUUAGUAUCCACAGGAAUGUGUGGUGUGGAGUGGUGCCUAAUGUAAUUCGGAUUCAUGCGCAUGUGUCACAUUUGAGUUACAAAUAUUUUGUUGAGUAUCUGCCUAACUCUAGUGUCAAUACUUACACUUUUUUCUUCCCAGGGUUUUCAGAAAUCUUUUACCUGUGGUCAAAUGUCAUCAAGUGACACUUUUCUUAAGUGAAACUCUGCAUACAUUUAGCUUAUUUUUAACAGUUUCUAAUCAAGCUUUGAUGGGCUAAAAUAAUCAGUUUGACAUGAUCCAUUUCAUAGGUGGAGUUGACUAUAUAGCAUUACUUAUAAUUUAACUCACAACCUCAGAUAGUGGAUUAAGAUAAUAUAAGAUUCUUGGAACUAUGCCUGACUUAAAUAUAAAUAAUAUUUGUUUUUACAGCCAUAGCAAACAUUUUUUGAAAACAGAAAGAAGUCCCUUUUUAUAACAUAGGCAAGCUAAUAAUCUGAAUAGGAAAGAAUUCAUUUGUACACACUGUAAGUUUUCCUAAUUAUCUAGGUAAUGAAAACUGAGAAGCUAUUAGUCAUCCUUGGCUAAGCCAUACUCAAUUCUACUUGUCUUUUCUAAAUAUAAUAAAAGCAGCAAACAACCUUAAAGUACAUUAUUAAUUGAUUAGAGACGAUUUCUUAAAAUGGUUUACAUCAUCUCUUUUAACUUUGGAGCUUCCAGACAUUAACAAUGAGUCACCAAAAAGCUAUCAUUGAUUUAUAAUGCGCAUUACUACAUCAGGCUUGGACAAAGAACUCUGUGUGGGCCCAGAAAGAAAAAGAAAAAUGUUUACAAAUGAGCCAUGGCAGAAAUACACUGAAAACAUAUACCUGUAUUCACAGAAAACAGUUAGGCAUAACGCCAUUAGGGCGAACAUUCAGGUUCAUUUUAUUCCAAGGAACUGUUCCUACUCUUGAAGCUCCUUGUAGAAAAAAGUCCUUAUGGUUAGAACACUAUUGAGGGUGGUAUAAUUUUGCUUGGCCCUUGGACAUGUAAGGUAAACGUUUUACAUUAUUGCACACUAACAAAAAUUUACAGCCAUAGAAAACACAGGAUCUGAUCAACGUUAACACAUUGGGGGUUUAAGGCUAACCCACAUUGGAAAGUAAUCAUUUCCAGGAUGGAGAUCAAAUAUCAACACAGUGUCUGUCACUUGUCUGAGGUGCCAGAAAAGAUUUCUUAUUUAAAAAUCGAUUUAUAGGAUGUAUUUUCACAUUUGUCAAUUUCUUUUCACAUGUGUGCUAGACGGAGGCACUUUAAGAGUUAUUAACUGUAGUUUCAGGAGUACAAGACAGUUUCAGCAGUCGUUGGUAAAGACGGCAAGGAAUUAAAAUGAAAUUGGAUUAAAAAGAAAGUAAACAAAUCAUUAAAUCAGAAAAUUUCCCCAAAUCUUUUAAAACUCAUUAGUUUCUGAUUGGAAGAACUUCCUCACUAAAAAAAUAAAAUAAAAUA
Molecule: long non-coding RNA, 2364 nt
Organism: Diceros bicornis minor
Lineage: Eukaryota; Metazoa; Chordata; Mammalia; Perissodactyla; Rhinocerotidae
Exons: 2
Source: RefSeq, a predicted model, not a curated record